Molecule: ribosomal RNA, 450 nt
Filed under: uncultured bacterium
Lineage: Bacteria
Description: partial 16S ribosomal RNA
Rfam family: Bacterial small subunit ribosomal RNA
Source: RNAcentral
GUGGGGAAUCUUCCGCAAUGGACGAAAGUCUGACGGAGCAACGCCGCGUGAGUGAAGAAGGUUUUCGGAUCGUAAAGCUCUUUCGUUAGGGACGAACGUGCUCUUUGUGAAUAAUGAGGAGUAAUGACGGUACCUAAAUAUGAAGCCACGGCUAACUACGUGCCAGCAGCCGCGGUAAUACGUAGGUGGCAAGCGUUGUCCGGAAUUAUUGGGCGUAAAGCGCGCGCAGGCGGGAUAUCAAGUCUGUCUUAAAAGUGCGAGGCUCAACCUCGUGAGGGGACAGAAACUGGUAUUCUUGAGUGUCGGAGAGGAAAGUGGAAUUCCAAGUGUAGCGGUGAAAUGCGUAGAGAUUUGGAAGAACACCAGUGGCGAAGGCGACUUUCUGGACGAUGUCUGACGCUGAGGCGCGAAAGCUAGGGGAGCGAACGGGAUUAGAUACCCGGGUAGUCC